This 31-nucleotide non-coding RNA is filed under the name unclassified sequences. RNAcentral's name for it is "L31-Firmicutes ribosomal protein leader". It matches the Rfam family "L31-Firmicutes ribosomal protein leader". The record is from RNAcentral.
CUAUGAUUUUAGACAAUCAUGGCGGAAGGAG